AUUGAACGCUGGCGGCAGGCCUAACACAUGCAAGUCGAGCGGAUGAAGGGAGCUUGCUCCUGGAUUCAGCGGCGGACGGGUGAGUAAUGCCUAGGAAUCUGCCUGGUAGUGGGGGAUAACGUCCGGAAACGGGCGCUAAUACCGCAUACGUCCUGAGGGAGAAAGUGGGGGAUCUUCGGACCUCACGCUAUCAGAUGAGCCUAGGUCGGAUUAGCUAGUUGGUGGGGUAAAGGCCUACCAAGGCGACGAUCCGUAACUGGUCUGAGAGGAUGGUCAGUCACACUGGAACUGAGACACGGUCCAGACUCCUACGGGAGGCAGCAGUGGGGAAUAUUGGACAAUGGGCGAAAGCCUGAUCCAGCCAUGCCGCGUGUGUGAAGAAGGUCUUCGGAUUGUAAAGCACUUUAAGUUGGGAGGAAGGGCAGUAAGUUAAUACCUUGCUGUUUUGACGUUACCAACAGAAUGAGCACCGGCUAACUUCGUG
This 484-nucleotide ribosomal RNA is filed under the name uncultured bacterium. RNAcentral describes it as "partial 16S ribosomal RNA". It matches the Rfam family "Bacterial small subunit ribosomal RNA", at positions 30 to 507 of the family's 1533-position model. The record is from RNAcentral.